CAGGACGAACGGCUGGCGGCGUGCCUAAUACAUGCAAGUCGAACGGUCUUUCUAUGGAAGCUUGCUUCCACUGAGAAGAUAGUGGCGAACGGGUGAGUAACACGUGGGUAACCUGCCCAUAAGAGGGGGAUAACAUCCGGAAACGGGUGCUAAUACCGCAUAGUUUUCUUGAUCGCAUGAUUGAGAAAGGAAAGACGGCCUUUGUGCUGUCGCUUAUGGAUGGACCCGCGGCGUAUUAGUUAGUUGGUGAGGUAACGGCUCACCAAGACGAUGAUACGUAGCCGACCUGAGAGGGUGAUCGGCCACAUUGGGACUGAGACACGGCCCAAACUCCUACGGGAGGCAGCAGUAGGGAAUCUUCCGCAAUGGACGAAAGUCUGACGGAGCAACGCCGCGUGAGUGAAGAAAAGGGUUUUCGGAUCGUAAAACUCUGUUGUCAGAGAAGAACAAGUUGGAGAGUAACUGCUCCAGCCUUGACGGUAUCUGACCAGAAAGCCACGGCUAACUACGUGCCAGCCGCCGC
RNAcentral lists this ribosomal RNA (523 nucleotides) under uncultured bacterium. RNAcentral describes it as "bacterial SSU rRNA". It matches the Rfam family "Bacterial small subunit ribosomal RNA", at positions 25 to 518 of the family's 1533-position model. The record is from RNAcentral.